This is a long non-coding RNA of Anser cygnoides (Swan goose), 2413 nucleotides long. Lineage: Eukaryota; Metazoa; Chordata; Aves; Anseriformes; Anatidae. The record is from Ensembl.
CACGGGGCUCAGGCCCUUCGCAAAGCCCAAAGCCCCGCUUCGGUUCGGGGCACGGCGCGGCCCGGCCGUGCGGGACCGAGACCCGCGGCCCCUCUGUCCGCGGCCCGCGCUGGGGACAGGGGCGGCCGGGCACGGUGCCCCGGUUUAAAACAGAAGAAACGAGGGCUCGGCGGGAGGCGGGCGCGCCGGCUGCCGGGCAGCUGCCCGGGCACACGGGCACGCCGCGGGCACCGGCGCGAGCGGACUGCAGAUUUCGUCGGGUUUGGCGGCGCUGCAGAGCCCCGGCGCAUCCAGCCCCUCCCCGGGCCCGCGGGGCGCGGCGGAGCGGUGCCGAGCCACGCGUGCGGCGGCGGGCGGGCUACCUGCGGCGGCGGCGCCCAGAGCAGGCCCCGGGGCGGCCGCAGGGGCGAGGCAGGGGCGAGCAACCGGCGCGGCGGCGACGAGAGUCAAGACGCAGCAGCAGAACGACUCCGCAGCGGUCCCAUGGUGUAAUGGUUAGCACUCUGGACUUUGAAUCCAGCGAUCCGAGUUCAAAUCUCGGUGGGACCUCGCGCCAUUUUUGUCUCCGCUGUCCCAGUAAUUCAGCGGGAGGCGGGCGCGAAUCGGGGCGGCGGUGGCGGCACCAGGCCUGCCCCGAAAGCCCUCCCGUCCUCCACCGUUUGCGGGCAUCCGCACGCCUCCAUUUUGUGCGGGGGCGCCGGCUCUCAUGAGCGCAUGCGCGUGAGCACAGACGGGGCGGAGCUGCGGAGGGCGCUGUUCGGCUGCUGGCGCAGGUUGCGCGCGGGGAGUGACGCUGCCACCUCCCCGCGCUGCUAUUGGCUGGGAGAGUCCCGCGUCUGCGCUAAGCGGCGCCCCCGCUCCGGGGGGGUUCCCUAACGCGGGCUGCGGAGCGCUUCCCCGGGCGGCACCAUAAAUCUGGGGGGGGGGGUCCAGCUGCGGCCCCUGCGUGGGGUCGGCAGUAGAGAAACGCCCCCCCCCCCCCCCCCCUCNNNNNNNNNNNNNNNNNNNNNNNCCCCUCCCCCCCCGGGGCAGCGCUUGGCUCAGCCCGCCGCGGAGGACGGGCGGCGUGCGGCGGAGCUGGGCUGGCUGUGACGCGGGGCUCGGGGAGCUCAGCCGGGAUUAACCGGGCGGUCUGCCCGGGGCUCAGGAGACCCGGGCCUGUUUGAGACCUGCUCCUCCGGGAUUAGGAGCAGGGAUGGACAACAAAGCUCCGUUUUGGCACAGAAGCUGGUUUUCUUUCCUUUUUUUUUUUUUUGUGGUAAGGGCGUCUGGCCUGGCUAAAGCAGGGGGAUGCCUGAGGAUGCUUAUCGCUAGGUUGGAUUCGUGCUGUGUGGCAAGCUUGUCCUUCCCAGACACAAGAGACAGAGGCUGUGCUUCGAGUGCACACUGAGUGGAUUUAUUUAGCGUAGGCAAGAGAAAGAACAAAACCUUUAUCGAUUCAGUUAUUUAUGGCUAGGUAGGUACACAACACCAGAUGCGGAGGAUUUGUGUGAGUUCCCUCCUGAGCUGCAACCAGGAAGAACCUCUUUGUUGUGUUCAGGUUCCGCAGGGGAGCCCCAGGUUUUGGGCCUUGUCUGACGUUGAACAGCUGAGGACCUCCAGUCCCACGGCCUCCUGCGGGCAAGUGUCAAGCAUGACCAGCAGUGACCCAGCAGCCAGGAAAGCACUGCAGCUCCGCAUGGGUUCAGGAGCAAUUUCCCUGUAUGUGCAGCAUUUAAAGUAAUCCUAAGCCCACCUCCAUGCUCUUCUGGAGCCCCAUCCGUGGCUGCUUUCUCCACCAGCAUCAUGAGAGACAAAGGCUAUACCCAAUAUGCAACAGGUACCUUCUGCGCCGUCACCUCUUCCCAAACAGCCAUGUCCCACGUGGUGGGAGAGGUUUGUUCCUGCCCUGAAUUUGUAGCAAUUAUCAUUGCUGCGUUUAAGUCUGACCUGGUGCAUGUACCACCUCUGAGCAGAGGCUGUCUGGGCUGCCAGCUCCAAGUCAUCCCUGUCACCAAUGAGACGUUGUGGGACAAGACUUUGCAGCACCCCUACCUGUAUGGAAUUAGUCCAUCCUCCCCACCUGCCCACGGCACAGCCUCAGCAGCAGAGGAGAGCAGACGGUAAAGCCAAGGCAGUGUUUGGAGCCGCCACAGCUGCAGGCAGACCCCGACAGCUUGCUCUCCUGUGGCUGCUGGAGGGUUUCCCAGGGAGGAAGCGAGACCAAGAGGCAGGGUGAAGCUUUUGAACAAGCUGCCUGGAGCCUUGCACCUUCGUGCGGCUCACAAUGUGUUGGUUGAAGUCCCCAGACAUACUCUGACCAUCCCAUGGCUCUAGAUGCAUUGUGGAUGUGACCUGUGGUCUGUAGGAGCGAUGGACAGCAUUAAUGGGCUGGGAGUAUACAUUGGAAUAAAGAGAAUAAAGCUUCAGACCA